RNAcentral lists this ribosomal RNA (478 nucleotides) under uncultured bacterium. RNAcentral's name for it is "partial 16S ribosomal RNA". It matches the Rfam family "Bacterial small subunit ribosomal RNA", at positions 28 to 523 of the family's 1533-position model. The record is from RNAcentral.
GACGAACGCUGGCGGCGUGCUUAACACAUGCAAGUCGAACGGUAAGGCCCUUCGGGGUACACGAGUGGCGAACGGGUGAGUAACACGUGGGUGAUCUGCCCUGCACUUCGGGAUAAGCCUGGGAAACUGGGUCUAAUACCGGAUAGGACUCCGGACUGCAUGGUCUGGGGUGGAAAGCUUUUGCGGUGGGGGAUGGGCCCGCGGCCUAUCAGCUUGUUGGUGGGGUGAUGGCCUACCAAGGCGACGACGGGUAGCCGGCCUGAGAGGGUGACCGGACACACUGGGACUGAGAUACGGCCCAGACUCCUACGGGAGGCAGCAGUGGGGAAUAUUGCACAAUGGGCGCAAGGCUGAUGCAGCGACGCCGCGUGAGGGAUGACGGCCUUCGGGUUGUAAACCUCUUUCAGCAUCGACGAAGCGAAAGUGACGGUAGGUGCAGAAGAAGGACCGGCCAACUACGUGCCAGCCGCCGCCGUAA